ACGCCAAUUGGCUGCCUGCCUAAUACAUGCAAGUCGAGCGAAUGGAUUAAGAGCUUGCUCUUAUGAAGUUAGCGGCGGACGGGUGAGUAACACGUGGGUAACCUGCCCAUAAGACUGGGAUAACUCCGGGAAACCGGGGCUAAUACCGGACAACAUUUUGAACCGCACGGUUCGAAAUUGAAAGGCGGCUUCGGCUGUCACUUAUGGAUGGACCCGCGUCGCAUAGCUAGUUGGUGAGGUAACGGCUCACCAAGGCAACGAUCCGUAGCCUACCUGAGAGGGUGAUCGGCCACACUGGGACUGAGACACGGCCCAGACCCCUACGGGAGGCAGCAAUAGGGAAUCUUCCGCAAUGGACGAACGUCUGACGGAGCAACGCCUCCGAGUGAUGAAGGCUUUCGGGUCGUACAACUCUUUGUUAGGGAAGAACAAGUGCUAGUUGAAUAAGCUGGCACCUUGACUGUACCUAACCAGAAGCCACGGCUAACUACGUGCCAGCAGCCGCGGUAAUACGUAUGUAGCACGCGUUAUCCGGAAUUAUGGGGCGUAAAGCGCGCGCACGUGGUUUCUUAAGUCUGAUGUGAAAGCCCACGGCUCAUCCGUGGAGGGUCAUUGGAAACUGGGAGACUUGAGUGCAGAAGAGGAAAGUGGAAUUCCAUGUGUAGCGCUGAAAUGCGUAGAGAUAUGGAGGAACACCAGUGGCGAAAGCGACUUUCUGGUCUGUAACUGACACUGAGGCGCGAACGCGUGGGGAGCAAACAGGAUUAGAUACCCUGGUAGUCCACGCCCUACACGAUGAGUGCUAAGUGUUAGAGGGUUUCCGCCCUUUAGUGCUGAACUUAACGCAUAAGCACUCCGCCCGGUGAGUACGGCCGCACCGCUGACACUCAUAGGAAUUGACCGAGGGCCCGCAACAAGCGGUGGAGCAUGUGGUUCAAUUCGAAGCAACGCGAAGCAACCUUACCAGGUCUGACAUCCUCUGAAAUCCCUAGAGAUAGGGCUUCUCCUUCGGGAGCAGAGUGACAGGUGGUGCAUGGUUGUCGUCAGCUCGUGUCGUGAGAUGUUGGGUUAAGUCCCGCAUCGAGCGCAACCCUUGAUCUUAGUUGCCAUCAUUAAGUUGGGCACUCUAAGGUGACUGCCGGUGACAAACCGGAGGAAGGUGGGGAUGACGUCAAAUCAUCAUGCCCCUUAUGACCUGGGCUACACACGUGCUACAAUGGACGGUACAAAGAGCUGCAAGACCGCGAGGUGGAGCUAAUCUCAUAAAACCGUUCUCAGUUCGGAUUGUAGGCUGCAACUCGCCUACAUGAAGCUGGAAUCGCUAGUAAUCGCGGAUCAGCAUGCCACGGUGAAUACGUUCCCGGGCCUUGUACACACCGCCCGUCACACCAUGGGAGUGGGUUGCAAAAGAAGUAGGUAGCUUAACCUUCGGGAGGGCGCUUACCACUUUGUGAUUCAUGACUGGGGUGAAGUCGUAACAAGGUAACCGUUGGGGAACCUGUGGAUGGAUCACCUCCUU
This 1519-nucleotide ribosomal RNA is filed under the name Bacillus anthracis (anthrax bacterium). Its description in RNAcentral is "bacterial SSU rRNA". It matches the Rfam family "Bacterial small subunit ribosomal RNA". The record is from RNAcentral. Lineage: Bacteria; Bacillati; Bacillota; Bacilli; Caryophanales; Bacillaceae.